Molecule: long non-coding RNA, 259 nt
Filed under: Ananas comosus (pineapple)
Lineage: Eukaryota; Viridiplantae; Streptophyta; Magnoliopsida; Poales; Bromeliaceae
Description: long non-coding RNA (ACOM_LNC032190)
Source: RNAcentral
AAGUAUAGGUGCCGAUAUUCUAUGUUUUUAGAUUUCUGAAUAUAUUCAAUGGAUUUUUUUUAAUAGAAAGGUAGUAUGCUAUCUGCUUCAUUUUUUUUAAGUAAAUUUAACUGGACAUGUGAAAUAACUAGACUUUGAACUUAAAAUCUCAUGUAUCGACUAUCAAAUUUUUUGCUACUUACGUUAGGGACGGUCGGUAAUGCAUGUAUUCUGUGGAUUGAACUAUAAUUUUGAGAUAUUUGUAGAGGAGCUUUUGAGG